Molecule: small RNA, 454 nt
Filed under: Cryptococcus neoformans H99
Lineage: Eukaryota; Fungi; Basidiomycota; Tremellomycetes; Tremellales; Cryptococcaceae
Description: Cryptococcus neoformans var. grubii H99 hypothetical RNA
Source: RNAcentral
UUUCUCCCUGAUCUUCCCCCCUCGCUAAUCUAUAAGUACAUCGUCGGUUCCUUCAUCUGACAUCGUAGCUAUCCCCCUCCAUAGUCCCCGGACCCCGCCAACGCACUUAUCCAAGAUCUUCAGCUUGCUUCUUCCAAUAUUCCGCAAGCUUCAGCUCCUGGCCUUUCGAACUGUCUCUCAACCAACAUAUUUGUCUUUCGCAAGGGCAUGAAAUCAAGGUGCGCAGAGCAGUGCAUAGUUCUCAUCGUCCCAGCAUGAGCCAGUUGAUACACGGGUAACCCCGCAGCGCAAAGGAAGUCAUUGCCUGUCAAAGCUAACAUUAACGCAACUUUCGAAAAACGAGGCAGGAAUAUCUUACUUCGCAAAAAUGAUACAUGCACUGCCCAUUUACAUAUGUCAGAUCCGUCCCUGUCGCAUGGCCCAAGGAUGGCUGGAUGGGCAUCGCGCCGUGAUA